CUAGGAGCCGUAGUUUGUUUGUAUUGCCGUAGUUUGUGGGUGGUGGAUAUCCAGAAUAGUGUAGAAUGCAUUUACGCUCGUGCUGGGAUGCCGAGUUUAUUUUUAUAGUAGUAUAUAGUCUGUUUUGGACUCUCGGGUGCCAUUGUGGUUGACGGUGGAUUCAGUUUGCAAUUUUUGCAUCGUAUUGUGCUGAGAGCAUAUUUAUUAUGGUUAUAGAUCAGUUAGACCCUUCUGUUUUGACUAUAGCCUGUGAGCGCCUAAAUGAACUUCGCAAAGACACUUAUAAUGUCACACCCCGGAUUACUUGUUUUCACGGGCUCGCUAACAGACCUGUCGUAUACAUAGGUAUUUUUUCUGUAUACGAAGCGAAAAAGUAGAAGUAUCUAUAAUCAUACAAUACCACAAACAGUAGUAUAGAGCAGCUAGAAAAAAAAAAUCAAAUAUAUAAACUGUGGUUCAAUACAUAUAUGUCAUCCAGGUAUACAAACACUCGCUCUGGCGAGAUAUAACAACUAUAUGUAAAGACCAAAAAACUACAACUACCUGUAGCUAGUGCUCCUCUAGCUCUGCG
Molecule: long non-coding RNA, 571 nt
Filed under: Ananas comosus (pineapple)
Lineage: Eukaryota; Viridiplantae; Streptophyta; Magnoliopsida; Poales; Bromeliaceae
Description: long non-coding RNA (ACOM_LNC019740)
Source: RNAcentral